CCUACGGGAGGCAGCAGUGGGGAAUAUUGGGCAAUGGGCGCAAGCCUGACCCAGCAACGCCGCGUGAAGGAAGAAGGCUCUCGGGUUGUAAACUUCUUUUAUCAGGGACGAAGCAAGUGACGGUACCUGAUGAAUAAGCCACGGCUAACUACGUGCCAGCAGCCGCGGUAAUACGUAGGUGGCAAGCGUUAUCCGGAUGUACUGGGUGUAAAGGGCGUGUAGGCGGGAAAGCAAGUCAGAUGUGAAAACCAUGGGCUCAACCUAUGGCCUGCAUUUGAAACUGGUUUUCUUGAGUACUGGAGAGGCAGACGGAAUUACUAGUGUAGCGGUGAAAUGCGUAGAUAUUAGGAGGAACACCAGUGGCGAAGGCGGUCUGCUGGACAGCAACUGACGCUGAGGCGCGAAAGCGUGGGGAGCAAACAGGAUUAGAUACCCCUGUAGUC
RNAcentral lists this ribosomal RNA (443 nucleotides) under uncultured bacterium. RNAcentral describes it as "partial 16S ribosomal RNA". It matches the Rfam family "Bacterial small subunit ribosomal RNA", at positions 338 to 795 of the family's 1533-position model. The record is from RNAcentral.